AGAGUUUGAUCCUGGCUCAGGAUGAACGCUGGCGGUAUGCUUAACACAUGCAAGUCGAACGGAGUUCCUUCGGGGACUUAGUGGCGGACGGGUGAGUAACACGUGAGAACCUACCCUUAGGAUGGGGACAACAGUUGGAAACGACUGCUAAUACCCGAUGUGCCGAAAGGUGAAAGAUUUAUCGCCUAAGGAAGGGCUCGCGGCUGAUUAGCUAGUUGGUAAGGUAAAGGCUUACCAAGGCGACGAUCAGUAGCUGGUCUGAGAGGAUGAGCAGCCACACUGGGACUGAGACACGGCCCAGACUCCUACGGGAGGCAGCAGUGGGGAAUUUUCCGCAAUGGGCGAAAGCCUGACGGAGCAAUACCGCGUGUGGGAGGAAGGCUCUUGGGUUGCAAACCACUUUUCUCAGGGAAGAAUAGAUGACGGUACCUGAGGAAUAAGCAUCGGCUAACUCCGUGCCAGCAGCCGCGGUAAUACGGAGGAUGCAAGCGUUAUCCGGAAUCAUUGGGCGUAAAGCGUCCGCAGGUUGCCUAUCAAGUCUGCUGUCAAAGCGCAGAGCUCAACUCUGUAAAGGCAGUGGAAACUGAUAAGCUAGAGUACGGUAGGGGUAGCGGGAAUUCCCAGUGUAGCGGUGAAAUGCGUAGAUAUUGGGAAGAACAUCGGUGGCGAAGGCGCGCUACUGGGCCGAAACUGACACUGAGGGACGAAAGCUAGGGGAGCGAAAGGGAUUAGAUACCCCUGUAGUCCUAGCCGUAAACGAUGGAAACUAGGCGUGGCUUGUAUCGACCCGAGCCGUGCCGAAGCUAACGCGUUAAGUUUCCCGCCUGGGGAGUACGCACGCAAGUGUGAAACUCAAAGGAAUUGACGGGGGCCCGCACGAGCGGUGGAGUAUGUGGUUUAAUUCGAUGCAACGCGAAGAACCUUACCAAGGCUUGACAUGUCGCGAAUCCUGCUGAAAGGUGGGAGUGCCUUAGGGAGCGCGAACACAGGUGGUGCAUGGCUGUCGUCAGCUCGUGUCGUGAGAUGUUGGGUUAAGUCCCGCAACGAGCGCAACCCUCGUUUUUUUUGCCAGCAUUAAGUUGGGCACUCUAGAGAGACUGCCGGUGACAAACCGGAGGAAGGUGGGGAUGACGUCAAGUCAGCAUGCCCCUUACGUCUUGGGCAACACACGUACUACAAUGGUCGGGACAAAGAGCAGCGACCUCGCGAGAGUAAGCGAAUCUCAUCAAACCCGGCCUCAGUUCAGAUUGCAGGCUGCAACUCGCCUGCAUGAAGGAGGAAUCGCUAGUAAUCGCAGGUCAGCAUACUGCGGUGAAUUCGUUCCCGGGCCUUGU
This 1334-nucleotide ribosomal RNA is filed under the name metagenome. RNAcentral describes it as "bacterial SSU rRNA". It matches the Rfam family "Bacterial small subunit ribosomal RNA", at positions 8 to 1384 of the family's 1533-position model. The record is from RNAcentral.